GAAAUGCGAUAAGUAAUGUGAAUUGCAGAAUUCAGUGAAUCAUCGAAUCUUUGAACGCACAUUGCGCCCGCCAGCACUCUGGCGGGCAUGCCUGUUCGAGCGUCAUUUCAACCCUCAGAACCCCUUGCGGGAUCUGGCGUUGGGGAUUGGCAUCCAGCCAGCCCCGAAAUCUAGUGGCGGGCUCGCUGUCACACCGAGCGUAGUAGCAAUCACCUCGCUCAGGGCGUGCUGCGGGUUCCGGCCGUUAAACAGCCUUACAAAACCCAAGGUUGACCUCGGAUCAGGUAGGAAGACCCGCUGAACUUAAGC
Molecule: unclassified non-coding RNA, 309 nt
Filed under: plant metagenome
Description: partial contains 5.8S ribosomal RNA, internal transcribed spacer 2, and large subunit ribosomal RNA
Rfam family: 5.8S ribosomal RNA (bases 1-105)
Source: RNAcentral